UGGUGGAGUGAUUUGUCUGGUUAAUUCCGAUAACGAACGAGACCCCGUCCUACUUACUAGACCGAGGAUCCUCUCGUUCUCGCUGUCUUCUUAGAGGGACAACUGCCCAUACCUUGAACUACAUGAAAUGGGGCAAUAACA
RNAcentral lists this ribosomal RNA (141 nucleotides) under uncultured eukaryote. RNAcentral describes it as "partial 18S ribosomal RNA". It matches the Rfam family "Eukaryotic small subunit ribosomal RNA", at positions 1299 to 1458 of the family's 1831-position model. The record is from RNAcentral.